CUCUUCGGGGAUGAUUAAACCGGCGCACGGGUGAGUAACACGUGAGUGACCUGCCUUUUAGACUGGAACAACUUACCGAAAGGUGAGCUAAUGCCGGAUGAGUUAUAUAAGUGCAUGUUUAUAUAGGAAAAGUUGGGGAGACCUGACGCUGAAAGAUGGACUCGCGUCCCAUUAGCUAGUUGGUAGGGUAAUGGCCUACCAAGGCGACGAUGGGUAGCCGGCCUGAGAGGGUGGCCGGCCACACUGGGACUGAGACACGGCCCAGACUCCUACGGGAGGCAGCAGUGGGGAAUUUUGCGCAAUGCUCGUAAGAGUGACGCAGCGACGCCGCGUGAAUGACGAAGGCCUUCGGGUCGUAAAGUUCUUUCGACAGGGAAGAAAAUGCCUAUAAGUAACUGUGUAUGUAUUGACGGUACCUGUAUAAGCAGCCCCGGCUAACUCCGUGCCAGCAGCCGCGGUAAUACGGAGGGGGCGAGCGUUGUUCGGAGUGACUGGGCGUAAAGAGCACGUAGGCGGUGUUGUAAGUCAUUAGUCAAAGACUAGAGCUCAACUUUAGUAAGGCUAGUGAUACUAUAAUACUAGAGUAUCAGAGAGGAUUGCAGAAUUCCUGGUGUAGCGGUGAAAUGCGUAGAUAUCAGGAGGAAUACCGUUAGCGAAGGCGGCAAUCUGGCUGGAAACUGACGCUGAGGUGCGAAAGCGUGGGUAGCAAACAGGAUUAGAUACCCUGGUAGUCCACGCUGUAAACGAUGGAUGCUAGGUGUUGGGCUUUUAAGUUCAGUGCCGCAGCAAACGCGAUAAGCAUCCCGCC
Molecule: ribosomal RNA, 808 nt
Filed under: uncultured bacterium
Lineage: Bacteria
Description: bacterial SSU rRNA
Rfam family: Bacterial small subunit ribosomal RNA
Source: RNAcentral